UACGUAGGUGGCAAGCGUUGUCCGGAUUUACUGGGCGUAAAGGGCGUGCAGGCGGUCUGUUUAGUCUAGGGUGAAAGCUCCCGGCUCAACUGGGAGAGGUCCUUGGAUACUGGCAGACUCGAGGGAGGCAGAGGAAAGUGGAAUUCCCGGUGUAGUGGUGAUAUGCGUAGAUAUCGGGAGGAACACCAGUGGCGAAGGCGGCUUUCUGGGCCUUACCUGACGCUGAGACGCGAAAGCGUGGGGAGCGAACCGGA
RNAcentral lists this ribosomal RNA (254 nucleotides) under uncultured prokaryote. RNAcentral's name for it is "partial 16S ribosomal RNA". It matches the Rfam family "Bacterial small subunit ribosomal RNA", at positions 524 to 777 of the family's 1533-position model. The record is from RNAcentral.